CUUCUCUCUGGCUCCGAGCUGCGCGCAGUGUCUGGGUGGUGAUCGGAAGAGUGCCGGCGAUCUUCUGCCUCCGGGACUCGGCUGUCUUCCUUAUGCUAAAAAAAACGUAUGCUGUGUGACGUUGAAGAAAGUUACUCAACUGCUCUGAACUUCGGCUUGACGGACCAAUGAAGACCAGUGGCUGUAAUGGGGUGCACGGACUUCCCGAGCAGAGUCACCCCUGCGUGGAGCGAGGAUCCUUCACCCUAUGGCUCACCUGCUUCCUAUCUGGCCCAUCUCCAGACGCCUUCUCAGGAUGGUAAACACCACUGUCCACAGAGGGCCAGGGUCUGCUUCUUCCGGGUCCUUGGAAGUUUAUAAACGGAAUUCCGAAAAACCAGAUGGAGGCUGCUGUAGUCACUUUGGGUUCCAUGUCUUCAGGAUGGUCUCCCAGUCUGCUCACUAAAGACAAAGCAAUAAGACAAGCAAGUGUAUGGGGCACAGGCUUCUAACCACGGCCCUCAGGAAGUAGGGGCAGGAGGAUCAGAAAUUUGAGUUCAGUCUUGGCUGCAGGUUUGAAGCCAGCUUGGGCUACAUGAGACCAAGGUGGGGGUGGAGGAGAAGCUGGGAUAGCAAGAUGGCUCAGCAGGUAAAGACACUUGCAGCCAAGCUCGACAUCCUAAAUUCAGCCCUCAGGACUCCAGGAGUCA
Molecule: long non-coding RNA, 689 nt
Organism: Peromyscus californicus insignis
Lineage: Eukaryota; Metazoa; Chordata; Mammalia; Rodentia; Cricetidae
Exons: 3
Source: RefSeq, a predicted model, not a curated record